Molecule: long non-coding RNA, 1478 nt
Organism: Zonotrichia leucophrys gambelii
Lineage: Eukaryota; Metazoa; Chordata; Aves; Passeriformes; Passerellidae
Exons: 3
Source: RefSeq, a predicted model, not a curated record
CUGAGAACUUGCUGCUUACAGCUGCCUUUUACUUUUUAACCAGCUGUAUAUGUUCAUGGCUUUUUUUCCUUCAAGCCAUGUCUGAGCAAAAUUCUCCAACAUACAUCUUUGCAUGUUCAUGGUGCUGGGGACAGUUACCUUGAAGCCUUGGACUGAAGGCAAGUCUGAGACAAGGCAGCAGAAAUGCUGAAGUGUGGAAGAUAGCUGGAGAGCACAGCACUCACAGUUUGUACCUGUUUCUGCAAGUCCUGGACACUCCUCAUUCACCGUGGUGGCAAAAUUGAUAUCCAACUGCUUCAUCAUCUUGUCUGCAGAGGUGUGAUACACUCCUGCAGGGCCAGUACACUUCAUCCAGAAAGCCAGCAGUGACAGCUUCUUGUGGAACUCUGGAAUUGCUGGGGAAGACAAAAUGAAUAAUGAAACAAAGCCAUGCUAGAAACAUCAGCUUUGAAAAAAGAAGGAAAGACAGGUGGAAGAAGAAUUUGGGUCUUCAGAGGUGGAAGUAUCCCUACCCCAUAACACCAAUGACAUCUGUCCAUCUUCUGCACAUCAGACUGGAUAAGUGCUUUCUCUUCUCACUUGCAUUUCAGCACUGAGGACAGAUGUAGGUGACACCUGCCUUGCCUGCUGCACCUCCUGGUGACCCUGAGCCAGCCCUUACUACAGGGACCUCUCCUGCACUGCUGGUGAGCUCUGCACAGCGAUUAUUUCAGCAGACACACAUGCCCAGGCAAAUCCUUGUCAGAAGGAAAGCCCCUAAGCUGUUUCUUACCAUCAGUAAGAGAGGUGAUGUUUCCCAAGUUCUCAGUGCUGAUCUCGGCAAUAUUCUCCACCACGAGGAUCUGCCUGGACAGCUUAUCCAGGAGAUCUCUUGUCACAAAUGGUGUUUUACUGGAGAACACAAUUUGCUGGUGAAGACAAAUGGGAAGAAGCAAAAAAGAGUCAUUGAACCAAAAAGAAACCCAGCCUCAGAAAAAACAAAAAAACUCCAAAACACCUGAAGUGCAACAACAAAUUCAUUGCCUCGAACCACAGGAUCUCCUUAACUUAAAAAAAUUUUUGUUGUUGGGAUAUUUUUUGGUCCUAGUUGAUAUGCACCACUGCUUGUACCUUCAACAAUGUACCUUCAAUGAGCUGUACCAUCCACAUCCAGACACCUGAGAAUCCAAGUAGCCAUUUGUGUAAGUAAUGUCUGAUUUACACACUCCACAAAGCUAAAGAAACCCAUCACCACGAGACUUAAAGCCAGGCAAGAAUAUUAAUCUGACUUUCACACAACAUGGGCCAUAGACUUUCAGGACAACCCUGCACAGGGGAAGACCACAAGUUGCUCUUUCUCUAUUCCAUUUCAGCUUUGAUCAAUUACUUAGGUGCCUUUAUUCAUUUUAUUAAUUAAUUAAUCCUUGCUAGUACUCCCUGCUGCUGCUAUCUACAUCUUCUUCAGCAGUUUAUGUAAAUAAUAUUCAUAUCAGAUCUGC